GUGCUGAACACAGAUGCCGUCCUUUGUACGGUUCGCGAUUUAUGUUGCUGGUACGUUUGUACUGCUUCAAGGGCUAAACGAGCUCGUUCCGCGGAUAAACGAAACGCUAGCUGCACGACGUGAGCACUACGCGAGACUCGAACGCGAGAUCCGGCGGCGGAGAGAGGCUGUGCGGGACGGGCGAGCCCAAACGCUAGGUACUGAUCCCGUUUCCGAGACAGCAGGAGGAGAGCCUGACACACCGAAAGUGCAAGAGGCGGCACCAUAGCCCACUUCUGUUCGACCUGGACCCUGGGAAGGGCAACUGCGCGAGUCGAGCUCCAGCUCGCGAGCAGAAGCACUCGUCGUUGUCGUACAGCGGAGGCAAGUCUGGCGCUGCUCCGACGCGUACAAGCACAGCAUAGGAUACUGUGCCCGGUAAGUGUGUGGUUACGAGCGGUUAGUCGAGAGCUUUUUAUGGAACCAGACCUGCGCCACGCAGACCCGAACGAGGACAACGCGUUGUUAUCCUGACAAACGCAGCCGUCGCUCGCACGAGGUCCUGGUGCUGUCCCGCCUGCCUGUCUACUUGCGGGUGUGCUUGCGUGCAUGCUCUAUUUGCUUGUCAGCUGGAUGGAUACGCACGGGCAUGCGUCACCGCAUAAAUAGAGCCGAUCGGUCCAUCUCCAGGUACAACGACACGCCUGGCGUGCACCAGGAACGCAGAUCAUCCGGAAGAAAAACGCGGCAUAUAGGCAGAUAAGACCUAUACUCCAGGUCUGUGGGAUGCCGUGUUUCGCCAUCUCCAGAUUCACGGACGUUGGACGUAUUAAUCGGUAGAAGGGGCCAGGCUGGUCGCCGCCGAGGAAGAUGAUGUCUUCUGCCUGCCACGUUGUGGAUGAUAUCGCAGCGCAACCUCAAUGGCUCGAGGCGGCCAGUGACGCUCGUUUCGAAGAAAGUUUUCGUCUUGAAAUCGGCGUGGGCGCUGCAACGCACCCCAUAGACCCUCUGCGUCACUGAGCAUGCCUCGGUCAUAAAGAAGGACUGCGUAGGCUGCUUUCACUUCAUCGGACUGGGCAAAACUCGGCUUACUCGCUACUCUGCGCAUGAUGCCGAGGGCAUCGGUGUCACGUCCGCGUUGGAAGAGCGUCAACGCAUAGUCUACCCAGAAGGGCUGCACAUCGCCCGGUCGUCGCUCCACAGCGCGUUGAUAGUCCAACAGGGCAGCAUCGUAUUUCGCCAGAUCCACAUAGACCAUUGCACGAUUUACAAGGAGCAGCGGCUCAUACGGACGAAUGCUCAGAGCUCGAUUCAUAUCGCGAAGCGCUUCCUGGUGGCGGCGAAGCGUUCGGUACACCGUAGCUCGAUUCAGGUAGAGGACCCAUAGCUCGCGCUCCAAACACGGGGCGUCAGCGUCCGUCAGCCGCUCGUCUCCGGUUGAUUCGUUUCCAGAUACCGUCUUGCAGAGCAACCGAAUCGCUUGUGUGUAGUCCGCGAGGGCCUGAUCGUACUGCCCCAGGCGACUGUAAAGGUUUGCGCGGUUAGCAUAUGCCCAGACGAGGCCUGGCUCGCGAUCGACGACCGAAGCGUAAAUCUUGAGGG
This 1581-nucleotide unclassified non-coding RNA is filed under the name Cyanidioschyzon merolae strain 10D. RNAcentral's name for it is "hypothetical transcript". Lineage: Eukaryota; Rhodophyta; Bangiophyceae; Cyanidiales; Cyanidiaceae. The record is from RNAcentral.